AACGAACGCUGGCGGCGUGCUUAACACAUGCAAGUCGAGCGGUAAGGCCCUUUCGGGGGUACACGAGCGGCGAACGGGUGAGUAACACGUGGGUGACCUGCCCUCAGCUCUGGGAUAAGCCUGGGAAACCGGGUCUAAUACUGGAUAUGACUCCAUGACGCAUGUUGUGGGGUGGAAAGCCUUGUGCGGCUGAGGAUGGGCCCGCGGCCUAUCAGCUUGUUGGUGGGGUGANGGCCUACCAAGGCGACGACGGGUAGCCGGCCUGAGAGGGCGACCGGCCACACUGGGACUGAGACACGGCCCAGACUCCUACGGGAGGCAGCAGUGGGGAAUCUUGCGCAAUGGGCGAAAGCCUGACGCAGCGACGCCGCGUGAGGGAUGACGGCCUGG
Molecule: ribosomal RNA, 390 nt
Filed under: uncultured bacterium
Lineage: Bacteria
Description: bacterial SSU rRNA
Rfam family: Bacterial small subunit ribosomal RNA
Source: RNAcentral